This 497-nucleotide ribosomal RNA is filed under the name uncultured bacterium. Its description in RNAcentral is "partial 16S ribosomal RNA". It matches the Rfam family "Bacterial small subunit ribosomal RNA", at positions 28 to 507 of the family's 1533-position model. The record is from RNAcentral.
GAUGAACGCUGCUGGCGUGCCUAAUACAUGCAAGUCGAGCGAACAGACGAGGAGCUUGCUCCUCUGACGUUAGCGGCGGACGGGUGAGUAACACGUGGAUAACCUACCUAUAAGACUGGGAUAACUUCGGGAAACCGGAGCUAAUACCGGAUAAUAUAUUGAACCGCAUGGUUCAAUAGUGAAAGACGGUUUUGCUGUCACUUAUAGAUGGAUCCGCGCCGCAUUAGCUAGUUGGUAAGGUAACGGCUUACCAAGGCAACGAUGCGUAGCCGACCUGAGAGGGUGAUCGGCCACACUGGAACUGAGACACGGUCCAGACUCCUACGGGAGGCAGCAGUAGGGAAUCUUCCGCAAUGGGCGAAAGCCUGACGGAGCAACGCCGCGUGAGUGAUGAAGGUCUUCGGAUCGUAAAACUCUGUUAUUAGGGAAGAACAAAUGUGUAAGUAACUAUGCACGUCUUGACGGUACCUAAUCAGAAAGCCACGGCUAACUACGUG